GGGGCUCUAGCUCAUAUGGUAGAGCGUUCGCUUGCAUCAUUGCGAUAUGGGCUCUGCGAGAGGCACAGGGUUCGAUUCCCUGGUGCUCCA
This 90-nucleotide transfer RNA is filed under the name Puccinia graminis f. sp. tritici. RNAcentral describes it as "tRNA-Cys". It matches the Rfam family "tRNA". Rfam says of the family: Transfer RNA (tRNA) molecules are approximately 80 nucleotides in length. Their secondary structure includes four short double-helical elements and three loops (D, anti-codon, and T loops). Further hydrogen bonds mediate the characteristic L-shaped molecular structure. tRNAs have two regions of fundamental functional importance: the anti-codon, which is responsible for specific mRNA codon recognition, and the 3' end, to which the tRNAs corresponding amino acid is attached (by aminoacyl-tRNA synthetases). tRNAs cope with the degeneracy of the genetic code in two manners: having more than one tRNA (with a specific anti-codon) for a particular amino acid; and 'wobble' base-pairing, i.e. permitting non-standard base-pairing at the 3rd anti-codon position. The record is from RNAcentral. Lineage: Eukaryota; Fungi; Basidiomycota; Pucciniomycetes; Pucciniales; Pucciniaceae.